AACCUCGGAAAUGCCUUCAAUACUGGCUGUCUUGAGUACGGGAGAGGUGAGUGGAACUCCGAGUGUAGAGGUGAAAUUCGUAGAUAUUCGGAAGAACACCAGUGGCGAAGGCGACUCACUGGCCCGUUACUGACGCUGAGGCGCGAAAGCGUGGGGAGCAAACAGGAUUAGAUACCCUGGUAGU
Molecule: ribosomal RNA, 184 nt
Filed under: uncultured bacterium
Lineage: Bacteria
Description: partial 16S ribosomal RNA
Rfam family: Bacterial small subunit ribosomal RNA
Source: RNAcentral